CCUUGUUCUUUAAUGGGGACCUGUAUGAAUGGCACGACGAGGGCUCUACUGUCUCCUCUUUCCAGUCAAUGAAAUUGAUCUCCCCGUGCAGAAGCGGGGAUACUACCAUAAGACGAGAAGACCCUAUGAAGCUUUAGACGCCAAGACAGAUUACGUUAAACAACCCUUAUAAAGGAAUAAACAUAGUAACCCCUGUCCGAAUGUCUUUGGUUGGGGCGACCGCGGGGAAACAAAUAACCCCCAUGUGGACUAGGAGAACUAAUUCUCCUACAACCCAGAGCGACGCUCUAAGUAACAAAAGCAUUCCCCUUUUAGAGUCCCUAUCGACAAGGGGGUUUACGACCUCGAUUUUGGAUCAGGACAUCCUAAUGGUGCACCCCCUAUAAAGGGUUCGUUUGUUCAACGAUAAAGGUCCUACUUGAUCUGAGUUCAAACCAGAGGUCA
Molecule: ribosomal RNA, 444 nt
Filed under: Serranus scriba (painted comber)
Lineage: Eukaryota; Metazoa; Chordata; Actinopteri; Perciformes; Serranidae
Description: partial large subunit ribosomal RNA
Rfam family: Bacterial large subunit ribosomal RNA
Source: RNAcentral